UGGUUGACUAACUCCUGUGACUAGCAAG
Molecule: non-coding RNA, 28 nt
Filed under: Cricetulus griseus (Chinese hamster)
Lineage: Eukaryota; Metazoa; Chordata; Mammalia; Rodentia; Cricetidae
Source: RNAcentral